ACUGGUGUGGUUGUUGCUGGCCCUCUCGGGGGCAUGUGCACACCCACCAUCCUCAUCUCUCCACCUGUGCACCUCUUGUAGACCUGGAUAGACUUUCCGAGGCAACUCGGUCGGGAAGAUUGCUGCGCUCUGUGAGCCAGCUUUCUUUGCAUGUCCAGGCCUAUGUUUUUCAUAUACCCCUAUAGAAUGUAACAGAAUGUAUCAUUGGGCCUUGUGCCUAUAAACCUUAUACAACUUUCAGCAACGGAUCUCUUGGCUCUCGCAUCGAUGAAGAACGCAGCGAAAUGCGAUAAGUAAUGUGAAUUGCAGAAUUCAGUGAAUCAUCGAAUCUUUGAACGCACCUUGCGCUCCUUGGUAUUCCGAGGAGCAUGCCUGUUUGAGUGUCAUUAAAUUCUCAACCUUAUUAGCUUUUGUUGAUAAUGGAUUGGAUGUGGGGGUUUAUUUUGCUGGCUUCUUCACAGAGAUCAGCUCCCCUUAAAUGCAUUAGCUGGUGCCCCGCGUGGACCAUCUAUUGGUGUGAUAAUUAUCUACGCCGUGGAUGUCUGCAAUCAUAUGGGUUUUGCACUGCUUCUAACCGUCUGUUCAUUCGGACAAUACAUGACAAUUUGACCUCAAAUCAGGUAGGACUACCCGCUGAACUUAAGCAUAUCAAUAAGCGGAGGAAAAGAAACUAACAAGGAUUCCCCUAGUAACUGCGAGUGAAGCGGGAAAAGCUCAAAUUUAAAAUCUGGCGGUCUCCGGCCGUCCGAGUUGUAAUCUAGAGAAGUGUUAUCCGCGCUGGACCGUGUACA
Molecule: ribosomal RNA, 791 nt
Filed under: uncultured Alnicola
Lineage: Eukaryota; Fungi; Basidiomycota; Agaricomycetes; Agaricales; Cortinariaceae
Description: eukaryotic LSU rRNA
Rfam family: 5.8S ribosomal RNA (bases 233-386)
Source: RNAcentral